GGUUGAUCCUGCCGGACCCGACUGCUAUUGGGGUGAGGCUAAGCCAUGCGAGUCAGCGCUUCUAGCCAUGAUGGAGCGCGGCAUACGGCUCAGUAACAUGUGGUUAACCUACCCUCAGGUGGGGGACACCCUCGGGAAACUGAGGCUGAUCCCACAUAGAUGAUGGAUCCUGGAAUGGUUCUUCAUCCAAACGGUAUGCGGCUCAUGCGUCGCGUGCCGCCUGAGGAUGGGACCGCACCCUAUCAGGUAGUUGGUGGGGUAAUGGCCCACCAAGCCUAUAACGGGUACGGGCCCUGAGAGGGGGAGCCCGGAGAUGGGCACUGAGACAAGGGCCCAGGCCCUACGGGGCGCAGCAGGCGCGAAACCUCUGCAAUGCGCGAAAGCGCGACAGGGCCACCCCGAGUGCUAGGCGCUGAGUCUAGCUUUUCCCUAGUGUAGUGAGCUAGGGGAAUAAGCGGGGGGCAAGCCUGGUGUCAGCCGCCGCGGUAAUACCAGCUCCGCGAGUGGUCGGGACGAUUAUUGGGCCUAAAGCGUUCGUAGCCGGCCUAUCAAGUCUCUGGUUAAAUUUCAAGGCUUAACCUUGAGCGUGCUGGAGAUACUGUUAGGCUAGGGGGCGGUAGAGGUUGAGGGUACUUCGCGGGUAGGGGCUAAAUCUUGUAAUCCUUGGGGGACCACCAGUGGCGAAGGCGUCUAACUAGAACGGAUCCGACGGUAAGGGACGAAACCCUGGGGCGC
This 735-nucleotide ribosomal RNA is filed under the name uncultured archaeon. RNAcentral describes it as "bacterial SSU rRNA". It matches the Rfam family "Archaeal small subunit ribosomal RNA", at positions 6 to 720 of the family's 1478-position model. The record is from RNAcentral.